This 510-nucleotide ribosomal RNA is filed under the name uncultured bacterium. Its description in RNAcentral is "partial 16S ribosomal RNA". It matches the Rfam family "Bacterial small subunit ribosomal RNA", at positions 28 to 507 of the family's 1533-position model. The record is from RNAcentral.
GACGAACGCUGGCGGCGUGCUUAACACAUGCAAGUCGAACGAAGAGCGACGGAAGCUUGCUUCUAUCAAUCUUAGUGGCGAACGGGUGAGUAACGCGUAAUCAACCUGCCCUUCAGAGGGGGACAACAGUUGGAAACGACUGCUAAUACCGCAUACGAUCUAACCUCGGCAUCGAGGAUAGAUGAAAGGUGGCCUCUACAUGUAAGCUAUCACUGAAGGAGGGGAUUGGGUCUGAUCAGCUAGGUGGAGGGGUAAGGGACCACCAAGGCGAUGAUAAGUAGCGGGGCUGAGAGGAGGAGCGGCCCCAUUGGAAUGGGGACGAGGCCCAGCCCAAUACGGGAGGCAGCAGAGGAGAAUCUUACGUAAGGGAAGGAAGUCAGACGGGGCAACGCCGCGUCGGUGAUGACGGCCUUCGGGUUGGAAAGCUCUGUUAAUCGGGACGAAAGGUCUUCUUGCGAAUAGGGAGAAGGAUUGACGGUACCGGAAGAGAAAGCAACGGCUAACUACGUG